This 526-nucleotide ribosomal RNA is filed under the name uncultured eukaryote. RNAcentral's name for it is "SSU rRNA". It matches the Rfam family "Eukaryotic small subunit ribosomal RNA", at positions 77 to 604 of the family's 1831-position model. The record is from RNAcentral.
UACAGCGAAACUGCGAAUGGCUCAUUAUAUAAGUUAUCUUGUUUAUUUGAUAGUGCCUUACUACUUGGAUAACCGUGGUAAUUCUAGAGCUAAUACAUGCUAAAAACCCCGACUUCGGAAGGGGUGUAUUUAUUAGAUACAAAACCAAUGCCCUUCGGGGCUCUUUGGUGAUUCAUGAUAACUAUACGAAUCGCACGGCCUUGCGCCGGCGAUGGUUCAUUCAAAUUUCUUCCCUAUCAACUUUCGAUGUUUGGGUAUUGGCCAAACAUGGUUGCAACGGGUAACGGAGGGUUAGGGCUCGACCCCGGAGAAGGAGCCUGAGAAACGGCUACUACAUCCAAGGAAGGCAGCAGGCGCGCAAAUUACCCAAUCCCGACUCGGGGAGGUAGUGACAAUAAAUACUGAUACAGGGCCCUUUCGGGCCUUGUAAUUGGAAUGAGUACAAUUUAAACCCCUUAACGAGGAACAAUUGGAGGGCAAGUCUGGUGCCAGCAGCCGCGGUAAUUCCAGCUCCAAUAGCGUAUAU